RNAcentral lists this ribosomal RNA (424 nucleotides) under Verrucomicrobiota bacterium. RNAcentral's name for it is "Verrucomicrobia bacterium partial 16S ribosomal RNA". It matches the Rfam family "Bacterial small subunit ribosomal RNA", at positions 355 to 776 of the family's 1533-position model. The record is from RNAcentral. Lineage: Bacteria; Pseudomonadati; Verrucomicrobiota.
UGAGGAAUAUUGGUCAAUGGACGCAAGUCUGAACCAGCCAAGUAGCGUGCAGGAUGACGGCCCUAUGGGUUGUAAACUGCUUUUAUAUGGGGAUAAAGUGGGGAACGUGUUCCCUUUUGCAGGUACCAUAUGAAUAAGGACCGGCUAAUUCCGUGCCAGCAGCCGCGGUAAUACGGAAGGUUUGGGCGUUAUCCGGAUUUAUUGGGUAUAAAGGGAGCGUAGGCCGUUUGGUAAGCGUGUUGUGAAAUGUAGGAGCUCAACUUCUAGAUUGCAGCGCGAACUGUCAGACUUGAGUGCGCACAACGUAGGCGGAAUUCAUGGUGUAGCGGUGAAAUGCUUAGAUAUCAUGAAGAACUCCGAUUGCGAAGGCAGCUUACGGGAGCGCAACUGACGCUGAAGCUCGAAGGUGCGGGUAUCGAACAGG